RNAcentral lists this ribosomal RNA (274 nucleotides) under uncultured bacterium. RNAcentral describes it as "partial 16S ribosomal RNA". It matches the Rfam family "Bacterial small subunit ribosomal RNA", at positions 523 to 796 of the family's 1533-position model. The record is from RNAcentral.
AUACAGAGGGUGCGAGCGUUAAUCGGAAUUACUGGGCGUAAAGCGUGCGUAGGCGGUUAAUUAAGUCAGAUGUGAAAGCCCUGGGCUCAACCUGGGAAUUGCAUUUGAUACUGGUUGACUUGAGUAUGGGAGAGGGAAGUGGAAUUUCCGGUGUAGCGGUGAAAUGCGUAGAUAUCGGAAGGAACACCAGUGGCGAAGGCGACUUCCUGGACCAUUACUGACGCUGAGGCACGAAAGCGUGGGGAGCAAACAGGAUUAGAUACCCUAGUAGUCC